RNAcentral lists this ribosomal RNA (516 nucleotides) under uncultured Candida. RNAcentral's name for it is "eukaryotic LSU rRNA". The stretch from base 197 to 350 matches the Rfam family "5.8S ribosomal RNA". The record is from RNAcentral. Lineage: Eukaryota; Fungi; Ascomycota; Saccharomycetes; Saccharomycetales.
AAGUCGUAACAAGGUUUCCGUAGGUGAACUUGCGGAAGGAUCAUUACAGAAUGAAAAGUGCUUAACUGCAUUUUUUCUUACACAUGUGUUUUUCUUUUUUUGAAAACUUUGCUUUGGUAGGCCUUCUAUAUGGGGCCUGCCAGAGAUUAAACUCAACCAAAUUUUAUUUAAUGUCAACCGAUUAUUUAAUAGUCAAAACUUUCAACAACGGAUCUCUUGGUUCUCGCAUCGAUGAAGAACGCAGCGAAAUGCGAUAAGUAAUAUGAAUUGCAGAUAUUCGUGAAUCAUCGAAUCUUUGAACGCACAUUGCGCCCUUUGGUAUUCCAAAGGGCAUGCCUGUUUGAGCGUCAUUUCUCCCUCAAACCCUCGGGUUUGGUGUUGAGCGAUACGCUGGGUUUGCUUGAAAGAAAGGCGGAGUAUAAACUAAUGGAUAGGUUUUUUCCACUCAUUGGUACAAACUCCAAAACUUCUUCCAAAUUCGACCUCAAAUCAGGUAGGACUACCCGCUGAACUUAA